GUCAACGACCUAAGCGUUGAGUGUUCUCCCCAUGUCUAAAAGACAGGGGCUUGCAGUUAACUCUAGUUGACCAGUUUAAGUCCAUCAACGGGCUACGUUUACGGUAAGUGUUCAAGAACUCACCUUGGGGUGCUUGCCAGCCCUAAGCUCUGAAACUAGAUUGUUAAACGUCCAAUGAGGUUUAGGGUCGUGCAAUCUGGAUAGUUACCGACCGUAAACAUUGACGAGGCUAACUUUAC
Molecule: non-coding RNA, 239 nt
Organism: Scytonema millei VB511283
Lineage: Bacteria; Bacillati; Cyanobacteriota; Cyanophyceae; Nostocales; Scytonemataceae
Source: Rfam